Molecule: ribosomal RNA, 440 nt
Filed under: uncultured bacterium
Lineage: Bacteria
Description: partial 16S ribosomal RNA
Rfam family: Bacterial small subunit ribosomal RNA
Source: RNAcentral
CCUACGGGAGGCAGCAGUGAGGAAUAUUGGUCAAUGGUGGAAACCCUGAAGCAGCAACGCCGCGUGGAGGAUGAAGGUUUUCGGAUUGUAAACUCCUUUUGUUAGAGAAGAUAAUGACGGUAUCUAACGAAUAAGCACCGGCUUACCCCGUGACAGAUGCCGUGGUAAUACGGAGGGUGCAAGCGUGAUUCGGAAUCGCUGGGCGUAAAGAGCGCGUAGGCGGGGUAGCAAGUCCGGUGUGAAAUCCUAUGGCUUAACCAUAGAACUGCAUUUGAAACUGUUAUUCUAGAGUAGGGGAGAGGUAGGUGGAAUGCGUGGUGUAGGGGUAAAAUCCGUAGAGAUCAAGAAGAAUACUCAUUGCGAAGGCGACGUGCUAGAACCUAACUGACGCUGAUGCGCGAAAGCGUGGGGAGCGAACAGGAUUAGAUACCCGGGUAGUC